UACGUAGGGUGCAAGCGUUGUCCGGAAUUAUUGGGCGUAAAGAGCUCGUAGGCGGCCUGUCGCGUCGGCUGUGAAAACCCGAGGCUCAACCUCGGGCCUGCAGUCGAUACGGGCAGGCUGGAGUUCGGUAGGGGAGACUGGAAUUCCUGGUGUAGCGGUGAAAUGCGUAGAUAUCUGGAGGAAUACCGGUGGCGAAGGCGGCAUCCUGGACCGACAUUGACGCUGAGGAGCGAAAGCUAGGGGAGCAAACGGG
Molecule: ribosomal RNA, 253 nt
Filed under: uncultured bacterium
Lineage: Bacteria
Description: partial 16S ribosomal RNA
Rfam family: Bacterial small subunit ribosomal RNA
Source: RNAcentral